Long non-coding RNA from Mugil cephalus (flathead mullet), 4572 nucleotides. RefSeq lists it as uncharacterized. The record is from RefSeq and is a predicted model, not a curated record. The transcript has 3 exons. Lineage: Eukaryota; Metazoa; Chordata; Actinopteri; Mugiliformes; Mugilidae.
UCUGCAUGUUGGGGCAUGGCUGAGCAAAGCAGCUGUCCCUGAGGACAUAAACCAUCCCCUCAUCUUAUCAAAGGACAAGCAUAUCUCCCACCUUAUCCUCCGUCAUUUCCACUUACAACUUGGUGGUGGAGGCAGAAAUCACGACCUUUCCACUACAAGGAGAAAGUUGUGGAUCACAAAUGGUGUUCUUGCAGCUAGGAAGGUUAUAGCAAGAUUCCCGUUCUGCAAGCUUUAUGGAGGAAAGACUGGUGAACAAAAAAUGGCAGACCUACCUGAGGAAAGAUUGGUUCCUGAUCUACCACCAUUCACUAAUGUCGGCAUAGAUUAUUUUGGGCCAAUUGAUGUGAAAAGAGGGUGUAACACUGUAAAAAUGUAGGCCAUAAAAAGGCAUUUUCACAAAGAGGAAUUAAGUGGAGUUUUAACCCACCAUCUGGAUUACAUCACGGUGGCACCUGGGAGUGUCUCAUAAGAAUGAUCAGAAAGGUCCUGAGUUCGGUCAGCAAACAUUAGAUGAUGGAGGGUUACAUACAAUGCUAUGCGAAGAUGAGCAACCGCCACAUGUGUUGAGGCUAUAGUCCUUAAUUCAGACUUGGCUAAAUUUCUGUACUGAUUCAUCCAGUGUGACCAGUGUCGUGUACUGAAAUUUUCAGCCAGCUAAACUUUCUCUGUCAUUUUUCAUCCAAGGAACAGGUGGAGUUGUGUCUGGAUCGAAUUUAAUGGCAGAAAUUGUGAAACUGCAAAAAAUACAGAAACGAUCAAGUACUACAAGAUAGAAUGAUACAAGUUUAUAUGUAGCCUACUAGAGAGGUAGUGGAUCUAACAGUCAGAUCUACGUGGAAAGUCCAAGGUCGCACCUCCCUAGUUUCAUUAACAAAUCACACAACGAUAUACUAUGGAAGAGUUUGCAAUCUACUAACGGUAAAUAAUGAUUUACUUGCUCAUAUUGCCACUACCAAGAGCUAAAAACAAACGUCAGGGAGAAGGAGCAUAAUGCUACGGAGCACGUAAAAGAUAAGAGAAGAAUACACUCUGAAAUGGGUCUGAGGAAGGUCUUGUUAGACUUGUUGUGGGUAAUCUUGACCUCCACUUUCCUGACAAGUCCAUCUUUACUUGGAAGAGCCUUCACUAUGACUCCUGUUGGCCAUUCAUUUCUUUUCAGUUGCUUGUCCUUUAGAAGAACAAUGUCUCCUUCCUUCAUGUUUGGCUUGAUGAGCUGCCAUUUUUGAUGACUCUGGAGCAUGUGGAGCUAUUCUUUCUGUCAUCUAACCCAGAAAGUGUCAGCAAAAACUUGAACCCUCUUCCAGUGAUAUUUGAACAUGUCAGCUUUGGUGAAGUCUCCAGGGGGAGGUGAGAGGACACCAAACUUCUGGGUGAGUAGAGUUGAGGGGGUUAAGAUCAGAGGAGCUUCUGAGUCAGCGGAGACAGGCACUAAAGGUCUUGCAUUAAUAAUAGCUGUAACUUCAGCCAUCAGGGUUAUCAGAACAUCAUGAGUCAGCUUGGAGUGGCUCGCUUGUAAGAGCAUUGAAUUCAGGAUGCAGCGUGUAAUUCCUAUAAUGCGCUCCCACGUGCCACCCAUGUGGGAUGAGUGGGGCGGAUUGAACACCCAUGAAUAUCUUUAAUUGAGGAGGUAGUUGUCUACACUCAUCUCACCAGGCUUUGGAGGAUCCAGCUUCAGCUCCCUGGAUGCACCAACAAUGUUGGUGCCACAGUCUGACCUCAACUCCUUAGCAGCACCUCUGAUCGUGAAGAAUCUGCGAAGUGCAUUGAUGAAGCUGGAAGAGCUCAUAGUUUCAAUCACUUCAAUGUGAACAGCGCGAGUGGACAUGCAAGUAAACAAAACCGCCCAUCUCUUACUGUUGGCUUGUCCUUCUUUAGUGCGGCGUGCAAUGACCUCCCAUGGUCCAAAUACAUUAAGGCCAACAUAAGAAAACAGGGGGUCAGUCUGUAAAUGUUCAGCUGGCAAAUCUGCCAUGAUUUUCUGCUCCUGUCUGCCACGUAGUUUCCUGCAGGUCACACAUCUAUGGGUAAUGUUGCUAAUACACCUCUUGGUUCCUACUAUCCACAGGCCACUUGCUCCUACCGCUCCUUCAGUAAAGUGCCUUCCUUGAUGCUUUACGGCCACAUGAUAAUAGCGAAUGAGCAGUGUAGCGAUGUGAUGCUUGCCUGGGAUCAGAAGAGGGUUGGCAUCACGACUUGACACUUUUGAUUCUGCAAGGCAUCCUCAUACCCACAGUAGGCCAUUUUCAUCAAUCACUGGAUGAACUUGUGAAGAGAACUGUUGGAGGACAGACUGCAGACGUUUUGCAAUGAUGCAUUUGAUUUCUUCUGAAUACACUUCAUGCUGGACACAUCUGAUAACUGUUUGUUCUGCUUGACUUAAAGCUUCAUCUGUGAGACUUGUCUUAAAGAGGUGCCAGCCUGCACAACAUGUUUCUUCUCUGAAUUUGAUGAAGCUGUGAGAGACGUGAUGAAGCAAGCAAUGGAAAGAGAUGUGUUCACGCCGUGAUGCUCUUCUCGCAAUUUGGACUCCAAUCUCAAUCGGAUCUUCAAUGAAAGGGCGUGUGAUUCUUUCCCGAACAGCUGAUUGGCCAGUGGGUGGAGCCUUUUAUCGGAUUCAGAUAAAUCCUGAAAGUUACCCUGACCUGAAGCAGGUGUGCCAAUCAGAUGUGAAUUACGGAGAAAAGACUUUUGGAUCUGGAGGACCAUCCCUGACACACAGAGGUUGAGUGAUAACUGAUUAUCAGAUUGAUCUGAUGUGUAUGUAUUGAUCUGAAAUAUCCAGCAUGUAGUGUAAUUUAGAGAAAGAUCUGUGGGGAUGGUGUUGGUUAGGUUUUAGGAGGAAAAAAACAAUGUGCAGGUGCUGUGCGCUGUUGUUUUCAUGUAUUUGUUAUUGUCUUAAUCAGUGAUGGGAAUAAUGGCUUUAAAAUAAACGGCGUUACUAGCGGCGUUACUUUUUUCAGUAACGGAGUAAUCUAACUAAUUGCUGUUUCCAUCUUUAUAAUGCCGUUUCAGUUAUUGAAAAUUAAGCUGCUUAUCUCAGGCCAGCAUGGUGGGAUUUUGUUGUAUCAUAUAUGAAAUUAAAGGUCAUGAUCCUAGAUCCUUUACAGAGACUCCAAAUAUGCUGACAAAAGACAUUCUGGGGGGUUGCGGCAGCACGGUCGGUGAGGUCAAAUCUGUAGUGUUCCGUGGCACGCUGUACAUAUUCAGUGUUGUUGUCUUAAGCUGCUUAUCUCAGGCCAGCAUGGUAACCGCGAACUGCUGUUACGGAUUGAGUGGGCAUGAUGUUUUGGCAGGUUGUCUGACAUACAGGAUUGUGUUGGUAGACAGACCAGAACACCGUACACGUCCAUUAAAUAUAUAUAUAAUGCUGUGAGAUUUGGCCUCCUUCACCUUUUCUGCCCAUGUCUAAGGUGGUCACGAUGAUUUGGUGGUGUGAAUGACUUAGUGUUCUGUUAUGAUGGCCAGCAGGUACACAACUGUUAUGUUAAUGAAAUCCCACCUCUUUAGGUACUGCUGCAAAUGUCAGAUCUGCCGUUCUUCAUUACAAUGGAUGUGUAAGGUGUUCCUAAUAAUAUGGCCAACUGGGUGACUCAGCAGUGAGCAGCCAUACUGAGCAGGUACACAGCUGUUGUGUUACUGAAAGCCUCCCUCCGUAGGUAAUUCUGCAAAUCUCAGAUCUGUCGUUCUUCAUCAUGAUGGAUGUGUAACGUGUUCUCAGUUACUUUAUUAACGGUGGAAUCCAGUACAAGAGUAAAAGUACUCGGUUGCUUCAUUAAUGGUGGAGUCUAGUACUAGAGUAAAAGUAUUCAGUUACUUUAUUAAUGGUGGAGUUCAGUAGUAGAGUGAAAGGACUCAGUUACUUCAUUAAUAGUGGAGUCCAGUAGUCGAGAAAAAGUACUCAGUUACUCCAUAACGGGUGGAGUCUAGUACUAGAGUAAAAGUAUUCAGUUUAUUAAUGGUGGAGGCCAUUACUAGAGUAAAAGUACUCAGUUACUUUAUCAAUGUGGAGUCCAGUACUACUUUAAAAGUACUCAGUUACUUUAUUAAUGGUGGAGUCCAGUAGUCGAGAAAAAGCACUGUUACUUCAUAACGGGUGGAGUCUAGUACUCGAGUAAAAGUGUUCAGUUAUUUUAUUAACGGUGGAAUCCAGUACAAGAGUAAAAGUACUCAGUUACUUUAUUAUGGAUGGAGUCCUGUACUAGAGUAAAAGUACUCAGUUACUUUAUUAAUGCUGGAAUCCAGUACUAGAGUGAAAGUACUCAGUUACUUUAUAAACGGUGGAGUCCUGGACUAGAGUAAAAGUAUUCAGUUACUUUAUUAAUUGUGGAGUUCCGUAGUAGGGUAAAAGUAUUCAGUUUAUUAAUGGUGGAGGCCAUUACUAGAGUAAAAGUACUCAGUUACUUUAUCAAUGUGGAGUCCAGUACUACUUUAAAAGUACUUAGUUACUUUAUUAAUUGUCCCUUUAUCUCUAAAGUUUUGGAAAGGGUUGUUGUCAAUCAGUUACUUGAUCAUUUAAACAGGAAUGGUUUGUUUGAAGAGUUUCAGUCAGGUUUUAGAGCUCAUCAUAGCACA